Molecule: unclassified non-coding RNA, 253 nt
Filed under: Hevea brasiliensis (rubber tree)
Lineage: Eukaryota; Viridiplantae; Streptophyta; Magnoliopsida; Malpighiales; Euphorbiaceae
Source: RNAcentral
UCAAGCCCGACGGCUUCAAGAUCAAGGUGCGGGCGCGUUCGGACAAGGAUCGCACCAUUGUCGCCAAUCGUCCCGGCACCGCGGUCGCUGAUACGUCCGGGACCGCUGCGCCGGCGCGGGUUCGUCCCGGUCACAAUACGCCGCUGCUCAUUCUGUACGGCUCGAAUCUCGGCACCGCGGAAGACCUCGCGCAUCGCGUUGCGGAUCUUGCGGAGGUCAACGGCUUUGCGACCAAGCUCGCGCCGCUCGACGA